This 491-nucleotide ribosomal RNA is filed under the name uncultured bacterium. RNAcentral's name for it is "partial 16S ribosomal RNA". It matches the Rfam family "Bacterial small subunit ribosomal RNA", at positions 29 to 507 of the family's 1533-position model. The record is from RNAcentral.
AGUGAACGCUGGCGGUAGGCCUAACACAUGCAAGUCGAACGGCAGCACAGUAAGAGCUUGCUCUUACGAGUGGCGAGUGGCGGACGGGUGAGGAAUACAUCGGAAUCUACUUUUUCGUGGGGGAUAACGUAGGGAAACUUACGCUAAUACCGCAUACGACCUACGGUGAAAGCAGGGGAUCUUCGGACCUUGCGCGAUUGAAUGAGCCGAUGUCGGAUUAGCUAGUUGGCGGGGUAAAGGCCCACCAAGGCGACGAUCCGUAGCUGGUCUGAGAGGAUGAUCAGCCACACUGGAACUGAGACACGGUCCAGACUCCUACGGGAGGCAGCAGUGGGGAAUAUUGGACAAUGGGCGCAAGCCUGAUCCAGCCAUACCGCGUGGGUGAAGAAGGCCUUCGGGUUGUAAAGCCCUUUUGUUGGGAAAGAAAAGCAGCAGGUUAAUACCCCGCUGUUCUGACGGUACCCAAAGAAUAAGCACCGGCUAACUUCGUG